This 78-nucleotide transfer RNA is filed under the name Planctomycetota bacterium. RNAcentral describes it as "Planctomycetes bacterium tRNA-Pro". It matches the Rfam family "tRNA". From Rfam's summary of the family: Transfer RNA (tRNA) molecules are approximately 80 nucleotides in length. Their secondary structure includes four short double-helical elements and three loops (D, anti-codon, and T loops). Further hydrogen bonds mediate the characteristic L-shaped molecular structure. tRNAs have two regions of fundamental functional importance: the anti-codon, which is responsible for specific mRNA codon recognition, and the 3' end, to which the tRNAs corresponding amino acid is attached (by aminoacyl-tRNA synthetases). tRNAs cope with the degeneracy of the genetic code in two manners: having more than one tRNA (with a specific anti-codon) for a particular amino acid; and 'wobble' base-pairing, i.e. permitting non-standard base-pairing at the 3rd anti-codon position. Lineage: Bacteria; Pseudomonadati; Planctomycetota. The record is from RNAcentral.
CGGGGCGUGGCUCAGCCUGGAUAGAGCGCCGCGUUCGGGACGCGGAGGUCGGUGGUUCGAAUCCACUCGCCCCGACAA